This 208-nucleotide unclassified non-coding RNA is filed under the name Hevea brasiliensis (rubber tree). The record is from RNAcentral. Lineage: Eukaryota; Viridiplantae; Streptophyta; Magnoliopsida; Malpighiales; Euphorbiaceae.
GAUGGAGAGCUCGUCGCCGGCGGUACCGUUCCCGCUCCUCCAGACGCCGAUCGAGUCCAACUACCGGGCGUGCACCAUCCCCUACCGCUUCCCCUCCGACAACCCCCGCAAGGCGACGCCGAUCGAGAUCCAGUGGAUCGAUCUGUUUCUCAAUUCGGUUCCCUCUUUCAGGCAACGAGCUGAGAGUGAUUCUACAGUAGUUGAUGCG